This 207-nucleotide ribosomal RNA is filed under the name uncultured bacterium. RNAcentral describes it as "partial 16S ribosomal RNA". It matches the Rfam family "Bacterial small subunit ribosomal RNA", at positions 568 to 774 of the family's 1533-position model. The record is from RNAcentral.
CACGUAGGCGGAUUGCUAAGUCAGGGGUGAAAUCCUGGAGCUCAACUCCAGAACUGCCUUUGAUACUGGCGAUCUUGAGUCCGGGAGAGGUGAGUGGAACUGCGAGUGUAGAGGUGAAAUUCGUAGAUAUUCGCAAGAACACCAGUGGCGAAGGCGGCUCACUGGCCCGGUACUGACGCUGAGGUGCGAAAGCGUGGGGAGCAAACA